Rhipicephalus sanguineus (brown dog tick) is the source of this 2495-nucleotide RNA transcript. RefSeq lists it as uncharacterized. NCBI's taxonomy places the organism in Eukaryota, Metazoa, Arthropoda, Arachnida, Ixodida, Ixodidae. The record is from RefSeq and is a predicted model, not a curated record. The transcript has 7 exons.
ACGCCCCUGGCGUCGCUGGUGUGGCGAAGCAGAUAGCUUCAGGCAUAGCUCACAGUUAGGCAGGUAGCUGACACUAGGCAGGAUAGCUUGAUAGCCGUCCUCUUACGAUUUCGUCAGGGACAUUUGCCUGUUCCGAAUGGCGUUGCCACCUCGACCACUAUUUCGGGAUUAGGUACUUCGCGCGCGAUACGUGUUGAAGUGAAGUGUGGUUUUCUGUUAAGCGAAAUGUGGUUUCGAGGAAGCAGACGACAUGCGGAAGUGCCUCGUUAGCUCGAUAGCUUUGUUAGUACUGCUGCACUUCUUCGGGCUGCAGGUCAGCGCUUCCUGCUGCAGCCAAUGUGAGUGGCCGUCAACCUUGUUGCACUUCAUGUGCGUGUGCGGGCAGUCUGUUUGCCCAUUACUGUGGUUCGCGCCUCGCACACUUGGUUGAACGCGCCGCUCGCUUUGGUCGAGUUCUUGGAACACGGCCCGCGCACGCGUGCGAACCUCGUCACGGUGAGUAUACCUGUUAUUCCUACGUUCUUAUUUCUAACGAGUGUUUGUUGAACGUUUCAGAUGCCUUGUACCUGUGGGUUGCCAUACAUCGACGUGUGACCACGGCAGACCUCCGAGCACCAGCACAUGUAUGCAUCGUUGCGGCGAGUAUCAUCGCAACAUGGCAAAUGAAAUGACAGGGGUGUUUAAUACUGGCGAGGCUGCAGUUAGUUUUGGUGUAUAAACAGCCCCCAGUUUUGGCGACCGGCUGUUGCAGCCAUAUCGGGUCUUCUCCUUGACGGAAUCGAAGAGGACGGGGUACGGGAGGGAGGCGCGCCGCAUACAGCUUCAGCCUUAGCGAACACGAUAGGUAGGAUAUGCCAAGUGUCCUCUUUCGAUUUCGUCGGGGGACAUUGAACCCGUUCCGAAUGUCUUUUGUGAAGCGACCACUAUUUCGUGUCGAGUAGCCCGCGCGCGAUAGUGCGCUCGAGCGAAAUGUGUUUUCGCGGAAGCAAACGGCAUUCGGAAUUCCCUCGCCAGCUUUUGAUUAACCGUACCGUACAACAUGCUGCUCAUGUUACAGCGCGGUUUCAUUCCACUUAUUGCUGUUUUUCCUGGUCGCUGUGUUUUUCAUGAUCCCACAUAUUCGCGGUGUAUGCUAACCAUGCAGUUUUGAGGUUUACUUUCAGGCUUUUCUUCUAGUCCCGCCGACCUUCCAGGAGGAGUCCAUGGAGCGCCGCACAUUAUUCUCAACAUGGGCCGGCGGAUGUCCAGUUCCUGAACGAGCUGUGCAUCGAAGGCUGUCCAGCCCGAGUCCACGGUGGAGAUGGCGUUGAGCAGCACCCUUCCUGUGGCAGUGUCGGCAGCACUUCCGCAUUCAACCGCCGAUAGUCCUGUCAGCAGGAGGGUCUUCAAUAAGCGCCAUAUGCUUUUCCGCGUCUGUCUUCCACUGCUACCCGUGACAAGGACAUUGAGCUGGGUCCUGCAGACUGCUUCUAAUGCCUAUGUUCCUGAGGUCCCCUGGGCAUCACACGCCACAUGGCCGAACUUGCUUCCAUCUUCGCACUGCUUCGCUGAUGGCGUCAUCGAGGGAGACUGCGCAUUGCUGCUACUCGUGGAAUCCUGUUGCCUAACCGCGCCUGUCUUCCAUUGCUACCCGUGACAAGGACAUGGAGCUGGCUCCUGCAGAUUGGUUCCAAUGUAUACGUUCCUGAGGUCCCCUGGGCAUCACACGCCACAUGGCCGAACUUGCUUCCAUCUUCGCACUGCUUCGCUGAUGGCGUCAUCGUGGGAGACUGCACAUUGCUGCUACUCGUGGAAUCCUGUUGCUUCUCAGAGACCAUCGCUACCCGUGACAAAGACAUGGAGCUGGCUCCAGCAGACUGAUUCUAAUGCCUACGUUCCUGAGGUCCUCGGGGCACCACUCGUCGUAUGGCCGAACUCAUUGCCACAUUUGCACUGCUUCGCUGACGGCGACAUCCAGGGAGACGGGACAUGGCCACUAGUUUUGCAUACGGCUCCCAGCGUGUUCUGGCGUGUGGCGCGCUACAGAAGAUUGGCCCAGCCCGCUCACUGACAUCAACGUCCGUGGAAUUUCCUCGAGUGACUGUGUCCAGCCUGACCGUUCUACCGGGGACUCUGAACCAGUCAAGUCUUCGUACGUUUGUGAGACUUUGUUGGUGUCCUGCACUGUCUUCGCUGCGUGUGGGUGUUCUCCGCAAGUGCUGCAGUCGCCGUCGCUCGACCACCUAUCCUGUGUUGCACUAGUGUCAACAGUCUAGUGUAGCAACCCACCCUAUGUUGAGAGCUGCGCUUCGCUCAGCCAACGGCUAGGGCAUCUAGCAGUUACAAAAAUACGAACCCAAAGAACUGUCAUAAUCACUGAUUUCUCACUCAUGAGCUGAUCUAUGAAUGUUUGGUGGUGAGGGUAAGGACAUUUACAUUGUGCGCUUUUGCAGCAACGCGUAGACAGUGCCUGUUCAUGCGCACUUACAUUUGCUCACAUCGCCUAAGUCAGCAGC